AAAAACUUAGUUAAAAAAUAACAUUAGAUUGUCAAACUAAAAUUAUUAAUAAUUUUAAUAGUUUUUA
This 67-nucleotide transfer RNA is filed under the name Attagenus hottentotus. RNAcentral describes it as "tRNA-Asp". Lineage: Eukaryota; Metazoa; Arthropoda; Insecta; Coleoptera; Dermestidae. The record is from RNAcentral.